CAGCAGCCACGGUAAUACGAAGGGGGCUAGCGUUGUUCGGAAUUACUGGGCGUAAAGCGCACGUAGGCGGAUAUUUAAGUCAGGGGUGAAAUCCCGCAGCUCAACUGCGGAACUGCCUUUGAUACUGGGUAUCUUGAGUAUGGAAGAGGUUAGUGGAAUUGCGAGUGUAGAGGUGAAAUUCGUAGAUAUUCGCAGGAACACCAGUGGCGAAGGCGGCUAACUGGUCCAUAACUGACGCUGAGGUGCGAAAGCGUGGGGAGCAAACAGGAUUAGAUACCCGGGUAGUCCCUGUCUCUUAUAC
This 301-nucleotide ribosomal RNA is filed under the name uncultured bacterium. RNAcentral describes it as "partial 16S ribosomal RNA". It matches the Rfam family "Bacterial small subunit ribosomal RNA", at positions 509 to 807 of the family's 1533-position model. The record is from RNAcentral.